This 296-nucleotide ribosomal RNA is filed under the name uncultured bacterium. RNAcentral's name for it is "partial 16S ribosomal RNA". It matches the Rfam family "Bacterial small subunit ribosomal RNA", at positions 775 to 1067 of the family's 1533-position model. The record is from RNAcentral.
GGAUUAGAUACCCUGGUAGUCCACGCUGUAAACGAUGAAUACUAGGUGUGGGAGGACUGACCCCUUCCGUGCCGCAGUUAACACAAUAAGUAUUCCACCUGGGGAGUACGACCGCAAGGUUGAAACUCAAAGGAAUUGACGGGGGCCCGCACAAGCAGUGGAUUAUGUGGUUUAAUUCGACGCAACGCGAAGAACCUUACCAGGAUUUGACAUCCAACUAACGAAGUAGAGAUACAUUAGGUGCCCUUCGGGGAAAGUUGAGACAGGUGGUGCAUGGUUGUCGUCAGCUCGUGUCG